CCUACGGGAGGCAGCAGUGGGGAAUAUUGGACAAUGGGGGGAACCCUGAUCCAGCCAUGCCGCGUGUGUGAAGAAGGCCUUAUGGUUGUAAAGCACUUUAAGCGAGGAGGAGGCUCUUUUGGUUAAUACCCAAGAUGAGUGGACGUUACUCGCAGAAUAAGCACCGGCUAACUCUGUGCCAGCAGCCGCGGUAAU
RNAcentral lists this ribosomal RNA (195 nucleotides) under uncultured bacterium. Its description in RNAcentral is "partial 16S ribosomal RNA". It matches the Rfam family "Bacterial small subunit ribosomal RNA", at positions 338 to 524 of the family's 1533-position model. The record is from RNAcentral.